GACGGGGGCUGCGAGCGUUACCCGGAAUUACUGGGCGUAAAGCGUCUGUAGGCGGAGAUGCAAGUCACUUGUGCAAAACUCUGGCUGAACCGGAGGAAAGCCAGUGAAACUGGCUGGCUAGAGUGUGGGGGAGGUAGGAGGAAUUCCCGGAGUAGCGGUGAAAUGCGUAGAUACAGGGAAGAAUACCGGAGGCGAAGGCGUUCUACUGGGACACAACUGACGCUGAGAGGCGAAAGCGAGGGGAGCAAACCGG
RNAcentral lists this ribosomal RNA (253 nucleotides) under uncultured bacterium. RNAcentral describes it as "partial 16S ribosomal RNA". It matches the Rfam family "Bacterial small subunit ribosomal RNA", at positions 524 to 776 of the family's 1533-position model. The record is from RNAcentral.